RNAcentral lists this ribosomal RNA (622 nucleotides) under Lulworthia sp. RNAcentral's name for it is "eukaryotic LSU rRNA". The stretch from base 173 to 326 matches the Rfam family "5.8S ribosomal RNA". Lineage: Eukaryota; Fungi; Ascomycota; Sordariomycetes; Lulworthiales; Lulworthiaceae. The record is from RNAcentral.
AAGGUCUCCGUUGGUGAACCAGCGGAGGGAUCAUUAUCGAGUUUAAAUCAAGCUCAAAACCCUUCUGUGUACCGUCAAAACGUUGCCUCGGCGGGCUCUCCGCCCGCCGGUGGCCGCAACCAAAACCCUUCCAUACAACAUGAGUCUGAGUGGACAAAACAAAAUAAGUCAAAACUUUCAGCAACGGAUCUCUUGGCUCUGGCAUCGAUGAAGAACGCAGCGAAAUGCGAUAAGUAAUGUGAAUUGCAGAAUUCAGCGAACCAUCGAAUCUUUGAACGCACAUUGCGCCCGCUGGUACUCCGGCGGGCAUGCCUGUCCGAGCGUCGUCAAAAACCCCUCCGGCCCGUUCCUCCUCCAUCGGGGAGGCUUCGCGGCCGGGCGUUGGGGCACCGCCGGACCCACAGCGGUCCAGCGGGCCUUCAAAUCCAGCGGCGGACGCCCCUGAGCCCCCCAGCGCAGUAGCUUCGGUCUCGCUGAUGGUAGCCGGGAGCGGUCCCUAGCCCCCUAGCGGAAGCCCUCUCACCAGGGCCCACGCGACCCCCCUCAUCAAGUUUGACCUCGGAUCAGGUAGGACUACCCGCUGAACUUAAGCAUAUCAAUAAGCGGAGGAAAAGAAACCAAC